CCUGGUUGAUCCUGCCAGUAGUCAUAUGCUUGUCUAAAAGAUUAAGCCAUGCAUGUAUAAGCUAAAGCUGAUAAAUAGUGAAGCCGCGGACAGCUCAUUAAUACACUCAUAAUCUUCGCAAUGCAUCCAAUAUGGAUAUCUGUGCUAAUUUUAGAGCUAAUACACGCAAUCAAGCCCCUUAAUUGGGGAGCAUUUAUUAGAACAAAACCGAUCGGGGUCUCCCCGCUGUUGGUGAAUCUGAAUAACUGUGCAGAUCGCAGGUCUUUGUACCGGCGACACAUUGCAAGAGUGAGUGCCUUAUCAACUGUCGAUGGUAGUAUAUAUGCCUACCAUGGUUAUUACGGGUAACGGAGAAUUAGGGUUUGACUCCGGAGAGGCAGCCUGAGAGACGGCUACCAGUUCUAAGGAACGCAGCAGGCGCGCAAAUUACACAAUGACAGUAAACUGUUGAUGUAGUGACAAGAGGUAACGGGGCGGUCCUCUAUGAGGCCCGUCAUUGUAUUGAGUAAAACUCAAAAUAUUUAACGAAACCAAUUGGAGGGCAAGUCUGGUGCCAGCAGCCGCGGUAAUUCCAGCUCCAAAAGCAUAUAUUAAAGUUGUUGCGGUUAAAAAGCUCGUAGUUGGAUCCAUGACCUCGGAGGGCGGUCCCCCACUGGGUGCGUACUGCUGCUCCGAGUCCUAUCUGUCAGUUUGUCUGUGUUGCCUUUAAUCGGGUGGCACAGGUGACUGACGUGUUUACUUUGAAAAAGUUAGAGUGUUUAAAGCAGGCGUUGAAUGCCUGAAUAGUGGUGCAUGGAAUAAUGGAAUAGGAUCUCGGUUCUAUUUUGUUGGUUCAAGAGCAUGAGAAAAUGAUUAAGAGGGACAGACGGGGGCAUUUGUAUUGCUGCGUUAGAGGUGAAAUUCUUGGAUCGUAGCAAGACAAACUACUGCGAAGGCAUUUGCCAAGAAUGUUUUCAUUAAUCAAGAACGAAAGUUAGAGGUUCGAAGGCGAUCAGAUACCGCCCUAGUUCUAACCGUAAACCAUGUCGACUAGCUAUCUGUCAGCGUUAAUAAUGACCUGACAGGCAGCUUACCGGAAACGAAAGUUUCUCGAUUCCGGGGGUAGUAUGGUUGCAAAGCUGAAACUUAAAGGAAUUGACGGAAGGGCACCACCAGGAGUGGAGCCUGCGGCUUAAUUUGACCCAACACGGGAAAACUCACCCGGCCCGGACACCGUAAGGAUUGACAGAUUAAUAGCUCUUUCUCGAUUUGGUGAUUGGUGGUGCAUGGCCGUUCUUAGUUGGUGGAGCGAUUUGUCUGGUUAAUUCCGAUAACGAACGAGAUUCUAACUUACUAACUAGUUCCACGAUCCUUGUGGUCCUAAAUAC
RNAcentral lists this ribosomal RNA (1367 nucleotides) under metagenome. RNAcentral's name for it is "SSU rRNA". It matches the Rfam family "Eukaryotic small subunit ribosomal RNA", at positions 3 to 1385 of the family's 1831-position model. The record is from RNAcentral.